AUGAAAGCGAUGACUGGGACGAGUAAAUGAACGGACAGUGUCAGCGAGUUAGGGAUUGGUGCGAGCCUAAUGACUGAACUUUAUUGAAAAUCACCCAGGAGCGUCUCUCGAAAGACAACGGGACAGUUUAAGUUGUUAGUAAGGAGAACCGGGUCAUUCCGUUAACGAUGAUCGAGUGAUACGUAAAUUCGGGUUUGGCGAAGGCCAUAUCCGGAGGAGCGCAUUAUGAGGGUGGUACCGCGAGUAAACUUCUCGUCCCUUUU
RNAcentral lists this non-coding RNA (263 nucleotides) under Paenibacillus swuensis. Its description in RNAcentral is "T-box sequence". It matches the Rfam family "T-box leader". Rfam says of the family: Uncharged tRNA acts as the effector for transcription antitermination of genes in the T-box leader family. T-boxes are found upstream of many aminoacyl-tRNA synthetase genes and some amino acid biosynthetic genes usually in Gram-positive bacteria. The record is from RNAcentral. Lineage: Bacteria; Bacillati; Bacillota; Bacilli; Caryophanales; Paenibacillaceae.